This 377-nucleotide ribosomal RNA is filed under the name uncultured organism. RNAcentral describes it as "bacterial SSU rRNA". It matches the Rfam family "Archaeal small subunit ribosomal RNA", at positions 476 to 851 of the family's 1478-position model. The record is from RNAcentral.
CCAGCACCCGAGUGGUCGGGACGAUUAUUGGGCCUAAAGCAUCCGUAGCCGGUCCUGCAAGUCUUACCGUUAAAUCCAGCUGCUUAACAGAGUGGGCUGCGGAGGAUACUACAAGGCUAGGAGGCGGGAGAGGCAAGCGGUACUCAGUGGGUAAGGGGUAAAAUCCUCUGAUCCAUUGAAGACCACCAGUGGCGAAGGCGGCUUGCCAGAACGCGCUCGACGGUGAGGGAUGAAAGCUGGGGGAGCAAACCGGAUUAGAUACCCGGGUAGUCCCAGCUGUAAACGAUGCAGACUCGGUGAUGGGCCGGCUUUAUGCCGGCUCAGUGCCGCAGGGAAGCCGUUAAGUCUGCCGCCUGGGGAGUACGGUCGCAAGACUG